This is a small nucleolar RNA of Diospyros lotus (date-plum), 93 nucleotides long. RefSeq annotates it as small nucleolar RNA Z266. NCBI's taxonomy places the organism in Eukaryota, Viridiplantae, Streptophyta, Magnoliopsida, Ericales, Ebenaceae. The transcript has a single exon. The record is from RefSeq and is a predicted model, not a curated record.
GUGCGGCAAGAAUGAUGACAAAAUUAGAUGUGUGAAUGGAAAAAUCCUUGAGCUGAAACAUCGAGGCUUAUUGAUAUUCUGACCUUGCCACCG